UAAAACUUGCCGAUGAAUACCGCACACACAAGUUGCAUGUCUUCCUCCUCCAGCGGGAACGAAGCAGCGCAAUUAGAAGAUUACUCGAGAUAGAAUGUUUUGUUUUGGAAAUCAUCGAGCAAGAUGCUUAUGUCCCGAAAAAUGUCCCGAAAGAUGUCGAGGACUGGGUAUCUGAUAUUAAGGCAAAGAAAGGUUACAAGUAUACCUUCAUCAUAUGCUGAUCAAUUCAGUGAUAAAGAAGCAGAUGCCAUUCGCAUGUUAUCAGAGAACGGAGUGGCGACUCCAAAGCUGAAGAAAGAAAAGGCGAAUAAGGAAAAGAUACCUACGGUGGCAAUUCGCAAUUUCACUAAGUAUCAAAAAAUGGACAAUAAUGGGAAAGACAACUGCUUUAAAAAAAAAGUGGAAGAAGCAUAGGAGAUUGGACGGAAAACUGGAGCAGGAGUGUAAGUUGUGGGAAAUGGCUAUGCUCAUAAAUAGGCAUUGUGGUCUAUCGUACACACUAACGGCUCAAGCUUUGGUUUCUAUAUUGAGGGACACCAUGAAGGAGUUUGGAGGAAAAGAUGUUGCAGGAGUGUGAGCUGGGAAACGGCUUUGCUAAUAAAUAGUUAGUAUUGUGGUCUUUCAUACACACUAAAGGGGCAAGCUAUCGUUUCUCUAUUGAGUGACACCAUUGGAUCACCUGUGCUUUGAUGGAUACUUUUUCACUUAAAGCUUCAUUUAUGGCUUGUUUGAUGGGUACUUUUUCACUUAGAUCUUUAUUUAUGGCUUGAUGGGUACUUGUUCAAUGAAACUACAUUCUUGAUUGUGCCAUAAAAAAAUAAUAAUAAGCCAUCAAGACAAGUCCCUAGUUUAAACUCGAAUAGGUUUAUCUAGGUUUAAGUUUUCUGUUGCUCAUGUCGAUCCAUUUGACCCAAAAUAUGAAUGACGAUGAAGAAGAUGGUCCAGAGUUGAUUCCACUGAUGCUAAUUUCAUGCUUUGCCUUCUUCUUUGAUGAGGUAACUUCUUAUGAGUUCUCUUUUUCUUCUGAGAGAAUUGAUAGUUAUCCUGUGAUAUGAAAUUGGGGGGAAGAUUACGGCAAAAGUUAGGGAUUUUGUAAAAGUUAGAUCUCUAGACCUAAAUGUUAGUCAGUAUUGAUUGAAUUUAGAACUGGGUUUUGAUUUUUGGUGCUUUUAUCGUAAAAUUGGCUUCUUAUUUGUUAGGGAUUAAAUUUGUGAUUGUACUGAAUUGGAGCUGAAAUUGCUUUACUUAUGUAGAUACAGGGGAGUAUGUUGUUCGAGAAGAAUAACUUGAGUAUGGAAUUUACUUCACUUGUCUUUGGUGCAUUAAAAUUUAGAUGGUUUAGUUCGAUUCAAAUGAUUUUUUUCUUUAAGCAAACGGAAUACUAGGACGGGAAGGGUUGGAAAAUGUAAAUGGCUAGAUCUUAACUCGAACCUUGAGAAAGUUUGUAAGGUUGCACUGAAUUUUGUUAUCUAUCUUGAACUGUCUUUGCAAGAACGAUACUAAGCCAGUGAAACUUGAGACAAAUCACCCUGAUGUCCAGUCGAUGAGCCCUGCUUGAUUUGAAGCUGAUGCUUACUCAACCUGCAGCUGACUCUUUAUGUUGGCCAUCACAUGGGCCUGCAAUGCAAUACAUGUGCAUAAGCUCUGGAAAACCAUUCGUUAAUGCAUAUUUUCAGUAUACUACAAGGAAUGCACAAGUCUUUUGCGUCUGCUUGUUUCAGAAGGAAGCUGAAUUGUGGCUCUCUAUGAUUGAUAGCUACAAGUUGUUGAAAGAAGGAUUUGUCUAAGGAUGAAAUUUUUCUCGCGUCCGCGCUUGGCUGAUGCAUUGAACGGCUGCAGGCAUAUUUUCUUGUUCUAGAUGAUAUGAUGGACAAUACUUACACAUGGCGAGGUCAACCUUGUUGGUUCAGAGUAGAGAAGGUGCUGAUCCUGUAUUGAGAAUCUUCCAUUGUGUAUUUAUUACUUAUUAGUUAUUAGCAUCCUUAUUAGGUUGGUUCGAGUGUGGCAAAUGACGAAGUUGUACUUCGUAAUCAUAUUUCCAGGAUUCUUAAAAAGCACUUCAGAUGUUCGUAUAUGGUUAUCUAAAUCUUGAAUGAACUGAUACUGUGUUAUCUAAUUUUUAAAUGAACUGAUACUGUUACGUUGCUAAGGUUUUGGUUCUGUA
Molecule: long non-coding RNA, 2164 nt
Organism: Papaver somniferum (opium poppy)
Lineage: Eukaryota; Viridiplantae; Streptophyta; Magnoliopsida; Ranunculales; Papaveraceae
Exons: 3
Source: RefSeq, a predicted model, not a curated record